AUCUAAAGGGCAGUGUGAAUACAAAGCAAAUGGUUAUUUCCCUUUAGAGAGGACUGUAUGGUGAAAACACCCUAUAAGACACAUAAUCGACUCCAUUCAAAAAUCAGCAAAGUGUUCGAGACAAGGACGAAUUAAAAGUUAAAUCUCUGCUUUUUAUUAUAGAUUAUUGAAAUGAACUCCUCUGACAUGGAGCUUGUACGUCCCCGGAGAGAGAAGAAAAACAAUUAUAUUCUCAAAAUAUAUUAUAAAUAUAAUAACCCCCACCCUUCAUUAGUGCUGAUCACUCACACAACAAUAUGUCGGCCAAGGAAUCCAAGCCACGUUAAAAAGGACAACCUAAUAAAACCAGGAAAAUACAAGGAGAGAAAAUGAGAGAGACAAUCCAAACUAUGAUUUUACAUAUCCACUCAUUUGUGGAUACAGGCUUUUUGUCCCUGCACUAAUACCAUACUGCGACAGACACAAUCAAACCCAGUCCAGCAGCACAAACCUCUUCUACAGUGUCAUAAAAAAUAAAGAAUAAAUCAUUGGUUAAAUAGUCUUUAUAUAGUAAUAUGGUUCCUAGAUACCAGUGUGUCAUGGUCAUAUAACCAGUCACUUCAGAAGGUUGAUAUUGUGAAGAAAUAGCUCCUCUAUAGACCCAAAGGAAACAAGCAAAUACAACACCAACCAGCAUGGGAAGAGAUGCAUCUCUUCCCAUGCUGGUUGUUGUUGCAUCUCUUCCCAUGCUGGUUGUUGUUGCAACACCAACCAGCAUGGGAAGGAUACAACACCAACCAGCAUGGGAAGGAUACAACACCAACCAGCAUGGGAAGAGAUGCAACACCAACCAGCAUGGGAAGGAUACAACACCAACCAGCAUGGGAAGGAUACAACACCAACCAGCAUGGGAAGGAUACAACACCAACCAGCAUGGGAAGAGAUGCAACACCAACCAGCAUGGGAAGAGAUGCAACACCAACCAGCAUGGGAAGAGAUGCAACACCAACCAGCAUGGGAAGAGAUGCAACACCAACCAGCAUGGGAAGAGAUGCAACACCAACCAGCAUGGGAAGGAUGCAACACCAACCAGCAUGGGAAGGAUCCAACACUAACCAGCAUGGGAAGAGAUGCAACACCAACCAGCAUGGGAAGAGAUGCAACACCAACCAGCAUGGGAAGGAUAAAACACCAACCAGCAUGGGAAGGAUACAACACUAACCAGCAUGGGAAGAGAUGCAACACCAACCAGCAUGGGAAGGAUAAAACACCAACCAGCAUGGGAAGAAUGCAACACCAACCAGCAUGGGAAGGAUACAACACCAACCAGCAUGGGAAGAGAUGCAACACCAACCAGCAUGGGAAGGAUGCAACACCAACCAGUAUGGGAGGGAUUUUCUGAAUGAAUGGCGACAGGACAGAACUACAGGAAUAGAGUGGUUGAAGUCAGGAAACGACGAGAGAGCACCUGCAACACACAGGCUGAAUCCACAAAAUGGCACCUGACCUAUUCCCUUCAUAGUGCAUUACAUUUGAGUCCAUAGGGUUCUGAUCUAAAGUAGUGCACUAUAUAGGGAAUAGGGUGCCAUAGGGUUCUGAUCUAAAGUAGUGCACUAUAUAGGGAAUAGGGUGCCAUAGGGCUCUGAUCUAAAGUAGUGCACUAUAUAGGGAAUAGGGUGCCAUAGGGCUCUGGUCAAAAGUAGUGCACUAUAUAGGGAAUAGGGUGUCAUAGGGUUCUGGUCUAAAGUAGUUCACUACACAGUGAGCCAUAGGGUUCUGGUCUAAAGUAGUGCACUACACAGGGAGCCAUAGGGUUCUGGUCUAAAGUAGUUCACUACACAGUGAGCCAUAGGGUUCUGGUCUAAAGUAGUUCACUACACAGUGAGCCAUAGGGUUCUGGUCUAAAGUAGUUCACUACACAGGGAGCCAUAGGGUUCUGGUCUAAAGUAGUUCACUACACAGUGAGCCAUAGGGUUCUGGUCUAAAGUAGUUCACUACACAGUGAGCCAUAGGGUUCUGGUCUAAAGUAGUUCACUACACAGUGAGCCAUAGGGUUCUGGUCUAAAGUAGUUCACUACACAGGGAGCCAUAGGGUUCUGGUCUAAAGUAGUUCACUACAUAGGGAAUAGGAUGCCACAGCAGCUGAUUCCCUCCCAUUGUAACCAACAACAACAUAAGAUGGUAUGUACAUAGCAGUGGAGGCUGCUGGGAACAACUAUAGGAAGACAGGGUCAUCACUUGAUGUGUUUUAUAUCGUUUUAAUUUAAUCCAUCCCAGCCUCCUAUAGCUCCUCCCACCAAUGUCCUGUGGUAGAGAGUUACACUGCGGGUGCAUUUACACAAGCAGACCAGUUCUGGUCUUUUACCACUAAAUGGUAUUUUGACCAAUCAGAUCAGCUCCUUUGCCACUAAUUGGUAUUUUGACCAAUCAGAUAUUGUGUGGGUAUAUUGGGCUUGCCUGUAUAAAUGCAACCUAUGAGUGUUGUAACCAAGUGUGAUAACGAAGAGAAAUAGCAAGGUGCUUCCCUACAGUUCUUAACUGCCCUUCAGACCAACAGUAGAUGUGUUGAUGAGAAACUACAUCCAGGGGAAAAGGGUUCAAUUCAGGAAGAACACCGAAAUGACAAUUCUAAUUUCAAUUCCAUUCAAUGCUGUUCAAUGAGGAAAAUGUGGAUUUUUUUUUCUUCAAAUUUUGGUUUACUUUCUGAAUUGACUGGAAUUGAAAUGGAAUCUAACCGACGACAGCGUACUAUUUAGCAGAAACACUAAAGAGGAAAAUAAUAAAAACGCUCCUAUUAAAAUAGUCACACAGCUACAACAUGCGGAAAAUGAAUCCAUUCCUUACUUCAUCUCAUUCAUCUCCACGAUUUCUAAAGAAAGUGUAUAUAUGUAUAUAGCAACAAUAGUUUCAGACAUGUUAUAGAUUUCACAACAUAACAAGUCCCUUUUGGUGAAAAUAUAGUUAAUUUCAAAAUAUCUCACAGGAUUUUUUUCUUCUUCUCUUCUCGUAUUGUCAAAAAAACAAAACAAAAAGCAACCGAGUCAAUCUGUGACCAGGGAAUCAAUCUAGCCUCGUCUUAACAGUAGUCAAAUUAAUUUCACUGUUACUACCACUAGAUUUUAAAUUAAACAAGGCAUUAAAACAUACAACCAUAAAUCAUCCUUCCCCUUUAAAAAAAAAAAAGUGUCAGCUAGCUGAAAAAAACCACACAAAAAAAAGACAAAGACAAACAUGGUAAAAUAAUUUUUUGUUGUUGUUGAUAAAAGCAACUAAAUCUCAUCAAGACAAAUACUAAAUCAAACAAAUAAAAAUGGACGACAACACAGACAUUCGUUGAAUGGCCUUACACCUCUUUACAGAAUGGACCUGCGAACACCAGUACAUGAGUUCAGACCAUAUUAUUGUGAAGAGGUACAUAAAGGCUGCGUUUACACAGGCAGUCCAAUUAUGGGCAAAAUAUCCGAUCCGAUUGGUCAAAAGACCAAUUAGUGGCAAAAAAAAAAAAAAGUCAGAAUUGGUCUGCCUGUGUAAACGCAGCCUAAAGAGUUAUAACCAUCAUCAACCUGGUCAGUACCAAUACUCUAGUCCAGCGUUUCCCAAACUCGGUCCUCAGGACCCCAACAUUUUGGUGUUUGCCCCUAACACUACACAGCGGAUUCAAAUGAUCCAAGCUAGAUGAUUCGAAUCAUCUGUGGAAGUGUCAGUGAAAAAAAAAAACUAAACGUGCACUGGGGGGGCCCCAGGACCGAGUUUGGGAAACGCUGCUAUAGUCAAAACAAGACAGACAACUUCUGAAAUCAAGUCUGUCCUUGAAAGAUGGAAGGCGGAGAGGAAGAGAACUGUACUACUCUUGAUUAAACAGUGAAAUGUAAAACAACUUGAAAACCCCCUUCUAUCAGCUGCAGAGAAGUGGUGUUGUUUGUGGUUUUACAGUAGAAGUUGAACCUUUGGAAUAAUAACAUUGAGCUGAUGUAGCUCUACAUAUCGUCACAGUGCAUUGAAUAUCAGACCAAAAAAAAAAAAAAAAAAAAAAAAAAAAAGCUGAAGUAUUUUCUGGGGGUUAAGAUGCUGAAAUCCCUUCCAGAUAUCUUUGUUAGGGCCCAACCAUGCAUCCACUGUUGUAUUGCACAGCACAUAAUGACAACCUUUUAAAUGUACCCAAACAAACACAAAAGGAAACAAGAAUCAUCUUAAAACGAUAACAAUAAUAAUCUCACUACGAAACCAUUUUUUCUCGCUGGCUGCAUAGUGACCUUUUUUGUUGCAAAAACAAUCCAUUGUUGGUACACGUAACGAUUCUUAAUUUAUUUUAUUUGUAUAUUACAACCGGCUAAAAACAUGCACCCAACUGCCCUCUGGGAAAUGCAGUUCAAACAGUCUCUCCAGCGCAUCAUGGUGUCCAUUGUUCCAGUCAAAAAGGUCAGAGUUCAGUGACUGUCGUAUGAUUCAAAAGUGCUUUAUGCGGUUCAGUAGGCCUUCUUUCUUCUGGAACUAUUACAACGUUUAUUAGCACGUAUCAUCUGUGAAAGAAAACACACUUUCAGUAUCAAAUACACUGACAUGAGUGUUUCCUGUUGCUUACGUACCGAUUCAUUACAUAAUCUAGUCUGGAUUUAGGUACAC
Molecule: long non-coding RNA, 4602 nt
Organism: Oncorhynchus tshawytscha (Chinook salmon)
Lineage: Eukaryota; Metazoa; Chordata; Actinopteri; Salmoniformes; Salmonidae
Source: Ensembl